Molecule: unclassified non-coding RNA, 263 nt
Filed under: plant metagenome
Description: partial contains small subunit ribosomal RNA, internal transcribed spacer 1, and 5.8S ribosomal RNA
Source: RNAcentral
UUUCCGUAGGUGAACCUGCGGAAGGAUCAUUAUUGUAUAACCGAGGUGCGAGGGCUCUCGCUGACCCGAAAGGUCGUGCACGCCCGAGUGCCCUCACACACAUCCAUCUCACCCCUAUGUGCACCACCGCGUGGGUCCCCCUUUGGCUUGUUCGGAGGGGGGCUUACGUUUUCACACAAACUUUGUAUGCAGUGUAGAAUGUAUUUUUUGUUUUUGCGAUCACGCAAUCAAUACAACUUUCAACAACGGAUCUCUUGGCUCUC